This is a small nucleolar RNA of Bos taurus (domestic cattle), 123 nucleotides long. Its record names the gene U8. It matches the Rfam family "U8 small nucleolar RNA". Rfam says of the family: U8 is a member of the C/D class of snoRNA which contain the C (UGAUGA) and D (CUGA) box motifs. U8 is the RNA component of a small complex (the U8 snoRNP) which is required for accumulation of mature large subunit ribosomal RNAs, 5.8S and 28S rRNAs. U8 RNA has been identified in human, mouse, rat and Xenopus. The record is from Ensembl. Lineage: Eukaryota; Metazoa; Chordata; Mammalia; Artiodactyla; Bovidae.
ACAGAAGUAAGAUAAUCCUUACCUGUCUUUUUCUUGGAAUGAAGGUUGGAACAUGAUGACUGGUGUGCAAUUAACAUCUGUGCAUAAUGAAUACUUGUAACACCUUGAUUGCUCCUAUCAUAU